RNAcentral lists this ribosomal RNA (484 nucleotides) under uncultured bacterium. Its description in RNAcentral is "partial 16S ribosomal RNA". It matches the Rfam family "Bacterial small subunit ribosomal RNA", at positions 30 to 507 of the family's 1533-position model. The record is from RNAcentral.
AUUGAACGCUGGCGGCAGGCCUAACACAUGCAAGUCGAGCGGAUGAAGGGAGCUUGCUCCUGGAUUCAGCGGCGGACGGGUGAGUAAUGCCUAGGAAUCUGCCUGGUAGUGGGGGAUAACGUCCGGAAACGGGCGCUAAUACCGCAUACGUCCUGAGGGAGAAAGUGGGGGAUCUUCGGACCUCACGCUAUCAGAUGAGCCUAGGUCGGAUUAGCUAGUUGGUGGGGUAAAGGCCUACCAAGGCGACGAUCCGUAACUGGUCUGAGAGGAUGAUCAGUCACACUGGAACUGAGACACGGUCCAGACUCCUGAGGGAGGCAGCAGUGGGGAAUAUUGGACAAUGGGCGAAAGCCUGAUCCAGCCAGGCCGCGUGUGUGAAGAAGGUCUUCGGAUUGUAAAGCACUUUAAGUUGGGAGGAAGGGCAGUAAGUUAAUACCUUGCUGUUUUGACGUUACCAACAGAAUAAGCACCGGCUAACUUCGUG